AUGGAAAGCUUGCUGCAUUGGGAUUUUGCUCCGGGCCUAGCCCUCGCAGAUCAGGUGAGUAGGAAAUUUGGGUCCACUGUUCAUUUCUCCCCUUCUCGAGACGCCAAAGAGCUCUUUUUGGUCGUUUCUUUCUCUUUGGCCUCCUUCCCUCUCUCUGUUGAAACAGUGGGGAUUGCGUUGCAAUGUUGUCUUGGAGGGAUUUCUUCUAGCUACAGGGUGUCUCAGAUCAAUGCCCGUCUUUUCGCUUCUCGGUGGCUAAUAACAAAGUGGGACAUUUUGUUUAUGGACUCAAAGACCUAUUUGGCCUGA
Molecule: ribosomal RNA, 309 nt
Filed under: Triticum aestivum (bread wheat)
Lineage: Eukaryota; Viridiplantae; Streptophyta; Magnoliopsida; Poales; Poaceae
Description: partial small subunit ribosomal RNA
Source: RNAcentral